RNAcentral lists this ribosomal RNA (138 nucleotides) under uncultured eukaryote. RNAcentral describes it as "partial 18S ribosomal RNA". It matches the Rfam family "Eukaryotic small subunit ribosomal RNA", at positions 1299 to 1458 of the family's 1831-position model. The record is from RNAcentral.
UGGUGGAGUGAUUUGUCUGGUUAAUUCCGAUAACGAACGAGACCUUAACCUGCUAAAUAGGGUUGCGAUUUUUUUAAUUCGUAAGUCUUCUUAGAGGGACUAACUACAUUUAGUGGUUGGAAGUUUGAGGCAAUAACA